RNAcentral lists this ribosomal RNA (460 nucleotides) under uncultured bacterium. RNAcentral describes it as "partial 16S ribosomal RNA". It matches the Rfam family "Bacterial small subunit ribosomal RNA", at positions 338 to 795 of the family's 1533-position model. The record is from RNAcentral.
CCUACGGGAGGCAGCAGUGAGGAAUAUUGGUCAAUGGCCGAGAGUCUGAACCAGCCAAGUCGCGUGAAGGAAGACGGCCCUACGGGUUGUAAACCUCUUUUGUCUGGGAACAAAGUGCGUCACGUGUGACGCUUUGUAGGUACCCGAAGAAAAAGCAUCGGCUAACUCCGUGCCAGCAGCCGCGGUAAUACGGAGGGUCCGGGCGUUAUCCGGAUUUAUUGGGUUUAAAGGGAGCGUAGGCGGGAGGUGAAGUCUGCGGUGAAAUUUCGUGGCUCAACCGUGGUACUGCCGUUGAAACUGGAUUGCUUGAGUGCGCGAGACGUAGGCGGAAUGCGUGGUGGAGCGGUGAAAUGCUUAGAUAUCACGAAGAACUCCGAUUGCGAAGGCAGCAUACGGGAGCGCAACUGACGCUGAUGCACGAAGGCGUGGGUAUCGAACAGGAUUAGAUACCCCAGUAGUC